RNAcentral lists this long non-coding RNA (1711 nucleotides) under Homo sapiens (human). RNAcentral describes it as "HSALNT0400026". The record is from RNAcentral. Lineage: Eukaryota; Metazoa; Chordata; Mammalia; Primates; Hominidae.
AGAGGGAAGAAUCAACUCCCCAUCAUGGAAAAUAAAAUGUUCAGCUGGGCAAUAAUGAAGCAAAUGAGUAAUGCCCAGAAGACACUACAGAGAAUGUCUACUGGGGACUACAAACAGCCAUCAGUAUGGUGGAUUUGCAGAAGAAACUGCCCUAAGCUGUGUGUUAAAGGUGGAUGGGAAACCGGAGGAGGGCAUGGAAGGACAGGCCAGCUUCAGAGAAGGAUUUUCCCUCUUGCCCAGGAAACCCUUGGAAAUGGAUCCGCCCUCUAGCGGUUAACAAGGGAGCUGAGGAAUAAUGGGAUUUGACAUCAUUGGAAAGCACAGCCACACCCAAAAACAGGUGUGUGCACAAGAAUUUCUGAACACAGAUUUUACCAGCUACACCCACACCCUCAAUUCUACUUGAAAUUAAUCUUAAAGAAAUUUUGAAUUUGCUGAUAAUUUGAGAUCAGUAAAGAUUUUCCCUGAAAGUUCUAAGGACUUCGCUUGGGGUUUUGGAUUGGAUUCCAGAGGUUGGCACCUACGCUCUAAAAAAUCUAAACAGAAGGAGAAAAUAAAUCACCAACUGGCACUUUAAAGACAAAGAUUUAUACCAGAUUUAAUAAACUUCCUGUCUUGCUGAGCAUGAGGAAAAUGUCGUGUUUACCCCGAUGCUCUCUGCUCCUGGCAGCGUGUGUGCUGAGUUGGAAGGGCUGCAGAAGUGGGUCACGCUCACCCAACUGGAACUCGAAAGACUCAUAGAGAGCAAGCACUGGACAAUGGCCUGGUGUCCAUGAUGUAUCCCUGCCUGUCGUUACUAAUCCUACUCAGGGCCAAGCUGGAGAGAAAUGUGAGUCAAGUCAUAUUGUCUUGUGUGGGUUCCCUAAAAGCAGACCCAAAUCGAAGAUUCAAGCACAAGCUGUUUAUUUUGGGAGUGAUUCCAGGAAACAGCAGUCAGGGGUUGGGGAAGUGAGAGAGGAAGGCAGUCUGGGAAGGUUAUGCCAUGAGGCCAGUUUCCACCAUGGGCAUGCAGAGCUUAAACCUGCUGGGGACCUCUAGGAGCCAGCAUCAAGCAUGUGCCUCAGAUUUAUCUCAACCAAGGGGCGAACGAGCUCAUGUGCCUAUCUGCUAAUUCUCUCAGGGACUGGUCAAAGGCUGCUCCCAGAAGCAUUAAUUCCUCAGGACAUUCAGCCUGUAGCACCUGUGGACAGAACAGAUGUCAGCACCAGACAAAGUACUCAAGUAAAGGGAUGCAGGUUGGAAGAGAGGGACACUCACUGAACUGUUACAGAUCUCAGAGCAACAGUGACUCUGACUCAAAACAAAGCAAACAUCCACCACAGUUAAAUCAAAUCCUUAUUUCUUUGUGACUUCUCCUUUUACUAUUUAUGGUGGUUCACACACAUGGUCUGGGAGGUGUAAACAUCUUACCAUAUCUCCCAUCAUACAUAGUUAAGCUUUCUUGGACUCAGUCAUCAUAUUUAUCCAAAAAUUAUUGACUUUCACCACUAGUAUUGCAAGCAGCCCUAAAAUUACAACUACAGCUCUGUAUGGUGACAAGGAGCAUGCACUUUCCCACUGUCUCCACAUCAACAAGUGAGAAACACCUGGAUCAAAAUUGGCAUAAACAAUCAACAUGACACUGGGUUUUGGAGUGUAAUAUGGACCUGAUUUACUUCCAGCUGGGAAAUAAAUCUUUUGCCAAACUAAGUAUAUACUCACUCACACACUG